AACUAGAGCUCGUACUGAAAAGGACUGUUUACAAGUUUAAUCAGCAACCCCCCGAAAAGGCAUAAGCUCUUACGGUGAUUUCAAGAGUAAAGGAAUGUAAAUAAAGCAACUUGAAACAUCA
Non-coding RNA from Danio rerio (zebrafish), 121 nucleotides. NCBI's taxonomy places the organism in Eukaryota, Metazoa, Chordata, Actinopteri, Cypriniformes, Danionidae. The record is from RefSeq and is a predicted model, not a curated record.